Molecule: non-coding RNA, 667 nt
Organism: Drosophila suzukii
Lineage: Eukaryota; Metazoa; Arthropoda; Insecta; Diptera; Drosophilidae
Source: RefSeq, a predicted model, not a curated record
CAAGGCAAAUGUGGGUGCUGGGUUCAUUCUAUUGCGGUGCCUUCUAGAAGUGUUUCAGAAUAAUGCAUCCAGAAGCAUGCCCAAACACCCGUUUCGGGAACGUAUUCCGAAAGAAAUAGUUCUGGGUCGUAUCUUUUUUACGCAAAGCAACACGCGUGCAAAUUUAACUAGCAACUGUGCGUGCUGGGGGCAGUCUUUUGGGUGCCAUCUGGGUGUAUUUCAAUAUAGUGCAUCCAGGUGCAUUUUAGUGGGAAUGUAAAAAAACCAAACUCAAACCCGAAGGUUGCCGAUGCCCAUUUUUUUACAAUCGUCUUUUUUCGAAACUGUUCUCUUGACAAACAAAUAAUAAAGACAAAAGGGAACAUGCAAGGAAGCGAGCGGUUUUUCUUGCCUCUUGCAUUUCUCGUCAGUUGCAUUUUUAGUUCUGAAAAGUGAAGUUCGUGCCACGUGCUUUGAAAAAGUUUGUUGCUUUCUGCCACCAAUUUUACAUCAAUAUUUUCACAGAAUCGCAAAAAAUGAUUGGGCACACCAAGGACUGAACUGCGUAAAUGACAAAAGUACAUAAACAAGAAGGAAGCACCAAAGCACCGUACAGAAGGGGAGUUACUCCGAUUAAAAAUUAGUUGCGUUCUUGAAUAUUGAAAUGAAAAUAAAUAUGAAAUUGAAA